UUCGAAAAGGGAAAACCAUCGCUUCCUAUGGAGAUAAGGGCCCCCAAUUGGCUUCCCAGUCUGCAUUUGAAAUCCGGCCCAGAGAUGGUUUCCAUGACCAACCCGGUGAACAAUAGUGUUGCAGAAACACCUCUCGUGACCGCGAGCAUCGUUGUGCCCCCACAACGGGAAGCUGUGCCCAUUGUUCCGAUAAUGGGACCACCAA
Molecule: long non-coding RNA, 205 nt
Organism: Aedes aegypti (yellow fever mosquito)
Lineage: Eukaryota; Metazoa; Arthropoda; Insecta; Diptera; Culicidae
Exons: 3
Source: RefSeq, a predicted model, not a curated record